This 1804-nucleotide ribosomal RNA is filed under the name Triticum aestivum (bread wheat). Its description in RNAcentral is "partial small subunit ribosomal RNA". The record is from RNAcentral. Lineage: Eukaryota; Viridiplantae; Streptophyta; Magnoliopsida; Poales; Poaceae.
CCCGUGCACGCGUUCGAUAGAAAAAAAAUACCCAUUCCCAAUUCGUGCGGCCGCGCACCCCACCGAUGGAUCCGCCGCUCCCCCCCGCCGCCGGCACGCCAUCAUCCGCCGCGCCGUCCUCCCCGCACCCUGGCCUGUCUCCUCUCCGCCGCGCCCUCCUCCCCGCGUCGUCCGAGUCCUCCAGGCGCGGUUCGCCGAAGGCGAGGCCCAGGCCGCCGCGCUCCUGGCCCGCGCCGGCCGGUUCGAGCGCACGCCGCCGACCGCGACCAGCUGCUCAUCACGCUCCUCUCCGCCGCGGGAAACGGCCGGGAGGAGGAGGACGCGCGGGAGGCGGGGCAGCGUCCGAUCCGGCCGAGGCUUACAGCGACACGGACGCGGAGGCUCUGGCCGCGGUCGCUGCGCUCCCUCCGUUCACUACCUUCCCGAUGGCUUUCUCUGUUCAAUUGCUUAAUUUGGUUGUCUUGUCUUACCUGAACUGCAAGGGAACCAACAUACAUGGUUUUGUUUGGUGAGAUUCUCUUUAGAAAACAAGAUUUGUAUUGGUGGUAGAUCGACAGCAACUGACAGCAUCUUCGUCAUCCGCGGUGGCAGUGCCGUCCGCGCGGAAUGCCUUCUGUGGCCGCGCCUCCGCCACCGACACCGCCACGCAGCCAAUGAUGUUGGCAUGUGGUGAAAAAAGGGCCCAAGUGAAAGGUCGACCAAGCUGUAAAAAUUCAGUGAGAGGAAUUUUUGUGCUCACAGCUCACACCAUGGCGUCCGUUGCCUCUGUUCUUACUUUAUUAUUUUGUUUUUCCCUUCGUCGAUUUUUCAUGUCGCCUGACAAGAACAAGAAUUGCAAAGAAGAAGUGAAAAGAAAACACAGAACAAAGGAUGAACGCCGGAGAGCACUACUAUAUAAUUUCCCCCCAAAAUAUGAUGGGCAGUGGUGUGCUUGUUUGCAUUGAUCGCAUGGUGGCCAGCACUUCACCACACAUCUGACGGCGACUGUUUUAUCCAAGAGGUGGAGGAUAAGAGAAGCGCAUCUCUUAAAUUCACAGUUUUGAACCUAAAGAGACACAUCUAGAAAAUGAUUGCACGAGUGGUUCCAGUGUCAUGUACGUCAACAUGGUUGGAGAUUUGGGAUCGGAUGCUGCGCCAAGAGCGAGGGACCGAGGUGCUGAACUAACAGCAGGGGGGAGGGUGAUUCUUUAGGGAGCUGCACAAAUUUGGAACAACUUCCAGAACAGGCAUCCAAGCAUUUUGGUCUGCUACCAGUAAGCUGCCAGAGCAAGAUAGCUGGGAGUCUGGGAUGUCGAGUCGUCGAGCCGUCCAAUGCCAAGUUCGCCGGCGGAAGGAGAACAUCCGUCAAGCCGUCCGUCGCCUGAGGCGGCUACACCAGAGGUCCGUGGGUUACUACUCCUUUGCUCUUGCUGGCGACCGGCCUCCAGAGUAGCACUUGCUUGAGAUCUGAUCUAGAACUGAAUUGUGCCCUGCUUUGCUGUGGUCGUAUGCUCUGUGUCCACCGAUGAGUUUCAGAUACAGAAUAGGACCAAAAUUGGAGUAGGUUCAGUCGCGCAAAUGUUGUAUCACUUUGUCAUGGGUAUUGUGCUGCUAAAUUGCUUGUUGGAUUGUUCAAACUAAAGUCAUCCAGUCAGUUUGCUACAAUGUUCAUUUGUUUACUUCGGAAGUUCUUGGGCCUGAUCACUUUCGAAUUUGUCUAUGGUUUGAGAUUAAUCUUUCCGAGAUGUUAGAGAGUGGGUCCAAGGAUGGAUCUGCCCAUCAGUGUGCAGAGGAUCUUCUAAUUCCUGCAGCUAAUCUUGAUUCA